UACGUAGGGCGCGAGCGUUGUCCGGAAUUAUUGGGCGUAAAGAGCUCGUAGGCGGCUUGUCACGUCGGGUGUGAAAGCCCGGGGCUUAACCCCGGGUCUGCAUUCGAUACGGGCAGGCUAGAGUGUGGUAGGGGAGAUCGGAAUUCCUGGUGUAGCGGUGAAAUGCGCAGAUAUCAGGAGGAACACCGGUGGCGAAGGCGGAUCUCUAGUACGGUACUGACGCUGAGGUGCGAAAGCGUGGGGAGCAAACAGG
This 253-nucleotide ribosomal RNA is filed under the name uncultured bacterium. RNAcentral describes it as "partial 16S ribosomal RNA". It matches the Rfam family "Bacterial small subunit ribosomal RNA", at positions 524 to 776 of the family's 1533-position model. The record is from RNAcentral.